UAAGUACCCAACAAGUUACACACAACUGAAGAAAAACACUUCAGGUUAUUGAACGCCUUGCUUCCCAGUGAACCAAGUUGAGAAAAUAGUCAUGGCUCAUUAACCCUGACAUACAUACAUAACCGGAACAACUAUUACACAUCAAAGGUUUCGCUGUUGCUUGUAACAUAAUAUGAGAAUGUACACCUCAUUGACGAAAAUGGAACAUUCAAGCUUUGAACUAAUGAGAAUGUACACCUCAUUGACGAAAAUGGAACAUUCAAGCUUUGAACUA
This 274-nucleotide unclassified non-coding RNA is filed under the name Hevea brasiliensis (rubber tree). The record is from RNAcentral. Lineage: Eukaryota; Viridiplantae; Streptophyta; Magnoliopsida; Malpighiales; Euphorbiaceae.